AAUCAAACAAUAACAGGCCAACAAAAUAUCAGACUCAUGCUCCAUUGGCAACCUUAAUCAAUUAUACAUCUAUAAAGUUACACAGUACAGUUUAAUUAUUUAUUUAGCUUUAAUACCGUGAUAGGAAAUAGGGUGAGGGGUCCUUACUUGUUUCGAGGUCUGAAUACGGCUCUACAGUGUGCCUACAGGCUGUCCCUAAUUUUCCUGAAUUUUUUC
Molecule: long non-coding RNA, 216 nt
Filed under: Carica papaya (papaya)
Lineage: Eukaryota; Viridiplantae; Streptophyta; Magnoliopsida; Brassicales; Caricaceae
Description: long non-coding RNA (CPAP_LNC002357)
Source: RNAcentral